RNAcentral lists this ribosomal RNA (438 nucleotides) under uncultured Bacteroides sp. RNAcentral describes it as "bacterial SSU rRNA". It matches the Rfam family "Bacterial small subunit ribosomal RNA", at positions 66 to 494 of the family's 1533-position model. The record is from RNAcentral. Lineage: Bacteria; Pseudomonadati; Bacteroidota; Bacteroidia; Bacteroidales; Bacteroidaceae.
GGGGCAUCAGGAAGAAAGCUUGCUUUCUUUGCUGGCGACCGGCGCACGGGUGAGUAACACGUAUCCAACCUGCCCUUUACUCGGGGAUAGCCUUUCGAAAGAAAGAUUAAUACCCGAUAGCAUAAUGAUUCCGCAUGGUUUCAUUAUUAAAGGAUUCCGGUAAAGGAUGGGGAUGCGUUCCAUUAGGUUGUUGGUGAGGUAACGGCUCACCAAGCCUUCGAUGGAUAGGGGUUCUGAGAGGAAGGUCCCCCACAUUGGAACUGAGACACGGUCCAAACUCCUACGGGAGGCAGCAGUGAGGAAUAUUGGUCAAUGGGCGUUAGCCUGAACCAGCCAAGUAGCGUGAAGGAUGAAGGCUCUAUGGGUCGUAAACUUCUUUUAUAUAAGAAUAAAGUGCAGUAUGUAUACUGUUUUGUAUGUAUUAUAUGAAUAAGGAUC